UACGAAGGGGGCUAGCGUUGCUCGGAACCACUGGGCGUAAAGCGCACGUAGGCGGCUUUCUAAGUCAGGGGUGAAAUCCUGGAGCUCAACUCCAGAACUGCCUUUGAUACUGGAGAGCUUGAGUCCGGAAGAGGUGAGUGGAACUCCGAGUGUAGAGGUGAAAUUCGUAGAUAUUCGGAAGAACACCAGUGGCGAAGGCGGCUCACUGGUCCGGUACUGACGCUGAUGUGCGAAAGCGUGGGGAGCAAACAGG
This 253-nucleotide ribosomal RNA is filed under the name uncultured bacterium. RNAcentral describes it as "partial 16S ribosomal RNA". It matches the Rfam family "Bacterial small subunit ribosomal RNA", at positions 524 to 776 of the family's 1533-position model. The record is from RNAcentral.